UGUCUGCGGCUUCCUCAUGCAACGUGGCC
This 29-nucleotide non-coding RNA is filed under the name Homo sapiens (human). Lineage: Eukaryota; Metazoa; Chordata; Mammalia; Primates; Hominidae. The record is from RNAcentral.